Acanthochromis polyacanthus (spiny chromis) is the source of this 198-nucleotide small nuclear RNA. RefSeq annotates it as U2 spliceosomal RNA. The transcript has a single exon. The record is from RefSeq and is a predicted model, not a curated record. NCBI's taxonomy places the organism in Eukaryota, Metazoa, Chordata, Actinopteri, Pomacentridae.
UCGACUUCUCGGCCUUUGGCCUAAGAUCAAGUGUAGUAUCUGUUCUUAUCAGUUUUAAUAAUCUGAAUAUGCUCCUCCAUGCUGAGGACUACAUAUUAAACGCAUUUUUAGCACUGGGAGCCUGAACGAGCGGGCUUGCUCCUUUCACUCCACGCAUUCACCUGGCAUCUGCAGUGCCGCUACGGGAACGCGAUGCAC